CAUGCGUUCCAUUAGGCAGUUGGCGGGUAACGGCCCACCAAACCGACGAUGUAUAGGGGUUCUGAGAGGAAGGUCCCCCACAUUGGUACUGAGACACGGACCAAACUCCUACGGGAGGCAGCAGUGAGGAAUAUUGGUCAAUGGCCGAGAGGCUGAACCAGCCAAGUCGCGUGAGGGAUGAAGGUUCUAUGGAUCGUAAACCUCUUUUAUAAGGGAAUAAAGUGCGGGACGUGUCCCGUUUUGUAUGUACCUUAUGAAUAAGGAUCGGCUAACUCCGUGCCAGCAGCCGCGGUAAUACGGAGGAUCCGAGCGUUAUCCGGAUUUACUUGGGUUUAAACGGGUGCGUAGGCGGCCUUUUAAGUCAUGCGGUGAAAUGUCUGUGGCUCAAUCCAUAGAACUUGCUCGUUGAAAUCUGGGGGGUCUUGAUUACUGUUUGAGGCAGGCGUGAAUGCGUGGUGUAUGCGGUGAAAUGCAUAGAUAUCACGCAGAACCCCGAUUGCGAAUGGCAGCCUGCCAAGCCAUUACUGAC
RNAcentral lists this ribosomal RNA (529 nucleotides) under uncultured Bacteroidales bacterium. RNAcentral's name for it is "bacterial SSU rRNA". It matches the Rfam family "Bacterial small subunit ribosomal RNA", at positions 230 to 744 of the family's 1533-position model. Lineage: Bacteria; Pseudomonadati; Bacteroidota; Bacteroidia; Bacteroidales. The record is from RNAcentral.